UUUUAGUUUAUGAUAAGUCGAGUUAAACAGAUGACGUCUAGCAUUGAUUAUGAUAGAGUGGGAAAAGGAGUGGUUGAUUUAGUUUUAAAAUAUUUAUCCUUUAAGAAUAAUGGCGGUGCUUUGAAUGCAUUUAUCAAAGGAUAUUCGAGUUUGAACGGGGUACUUAUGUUCGAACGGGAAGUUGCUUGUGCUCAAGUUCCAACUGGAUUGUUAGACACCAAUGGAAUAAAUAUAAGUACUUAUUGCUAACGUCUGGCACAUAUUUCAACAGCUUUCUACUAAGUUAAAACCUGUCCAUUUGCUCGGAAAGACUGACAUAGUUCAGCGAUAUGAAAACCAAAGGGACCAACGCUUUUCGAAGAAGGGUAUCACUUUGCAGCGAAAAGCGAGUGUCCUGUUUAAGAAAUCGAACUAUAAAGGAACAUCUUUGCACGAAUGAACAAGAUUAUGAAGGACUGUGCUAGGAAUGUAAAAUACAGUUGAAUUUGACCCAUCGGAGAGCCUGCAAUUUUCUGAAAGGUUUCUACUGCGUUUGCCAUAGCAAGUGUUUGGCAAGUCAACUGCUCAACGAACAUUGAAGUUGAAGGUAUUUCUGGACUUCCAUUAUGAAAUACUUCUGCAGUCCUUGUUACUUGUUGUAUACAUUUUGACUUCUAGAAUAUUUUAGAGUAAUUUACCAUAUCAUGUAAUCAAAUGAGACUGCACAAUAUUCUUCUGUUCCACAUUUGUCCAAGUAUAGUGGUUUUCGGAAAGGCUCACGAGGCGUUCACCUCAUGCCCCGAGUCGAGGAACUUGGUAUAUUCGACGAACGGCAUUAUGUCGAUGUUUAGUUUGACCCUGUAUAGGUGCAGAACCACAAGGCUUUUGCAUCUGAAGCCUUAUUAAACUCGGCCACUAAUAAAGCAUGUCUAUAAAAAGACAAAUUAGAAAGUCUUUUUAGACUUGACUAAAGAAGUAUUUAGUCUAUACAUCCUAAGCAAUGCGGUAUAUCAUAAUGAUAUACCGCAUAAUUCUAAAUAUAAUUCUAAAAAAUAAUUCUAAAAUGGUUGAGAUAAUCCCUCUAACAAGUGAAUGACCCAGAGAAUUAAAGUAAUCGAAAGUUUUAGUACCUUCAUACUGAAAGUUAAUUUGUAUAGUUAUAUCUGAAAAAGGAUACUGUGAAUGAGGACAACUUUUUCUCACGUUGAUAUCUAAUGAAUUAUAAUAAUUAGUUCAAAAAUCUGGAUCCUGCCCAUUAGUCUGAAUUUCUAGCUUCAUUGGAAAGAUGCAAGGAUAACAAAUUCUAUAUAAAUGAGCACGUAGAAUGUUACGAAUGAAACUUUAUAAUUGGAUCGAUCGUUACCUUUUACAUAUAUAAAACUUUACACGAAAUUAGGAAAUGAAGUUUCGAAUUUUCAUUAGAAUCCUGACUGAUCAAGAAAGCAUUUAAAUCCAAAGUAAAAAAAAUCGGGGAAAACUUCGGACGCAAGAACUUGAUUGAUAAAUAUUGAAUUCGGUUGGAAUUUUUUCACUAAACAUUGCAUUUUGCACGUCAAAACUGCCAAAGGCUUCGGUUUCUUUGGAUAGAAGUUGAAAAGUAUAAGCUUCUUGUAAGGGAAAUGAAUGCUUUCGCAUCAAGCUUGUAUGACCACAAGAGGUGGCGCGAGCAAUUCGUCUGGUUAGCUUGAAUCUUUCCGUUUACAUUGGCUAUAAUUUCAAUGAGUGGCGAUUCAUCUCACUCGUAAAGACAUUUUCCUAAAAUUAAAUUUUCAAUUAUAGUCUAGAAUCAAAUGUAUAUUAAACUUGGAUUCUUAACGAAAUGCAUGGUUAAAUUUUGCAUCAGUGGCUUUCUUUCGGCAAUAUGUAUGCAAAUCUUUAUCCUUUUAUAUCCUGUAUUUAUCAGCAACUAAAACUAUAUUUGUACCAUCAAUACAUUUGGUACAAAACUCUAAGAAAGAAAUCUUAACUUUUUCUUCUACAGACAAUCGGAUUUGCUCAUGUUCAUGAAUAGUUAUACAAAUGGACACAUGACGAUAUAAACGUUCAAAUAAGUUUUUUCAAAUAGUAAUGAUAUACCGGAUUCUGAAUAUCCAGACGGGAAGACAGAGAACCGGUCUCGCUACAAAAUAAAAAUUGUUAAAUGAAUAGGUGACAUAAUUUUCUUAAAGCUAGCAAUCAAACAGUUUAGAUAUCGAUGAAUUUGCUGUGCUUGAGUUCUAUUAAAAUUAAUAUCGGAUUAACUUUAGGGUUUUUAAUUUUAAACUCCUAUGUUAAAAAUACCAAGUUAAGCUUCUCCAUGAGUCAGAUAACGUAGGUUAAUGUACUUUCUAGUAUACUUAGAUGUGUCUUAGUGUAGUUAUACAAUACUUAGUUUGAUAUAAUAUUCGAUGUAUGCUAAUUAGUGUUGAUUUAGAUUGUGCUUAGAGCAUGUUUUAGAGUAGUUUUUAUGCAGAAAACGGUGGGCUGGGCAAUGGAAGAAAUGGGUUAAGGAGGUAGUGAA
This is a long non-coding RNA of Argiope bruennichi, 2479 nucleotides long. RefSeq lists it as uncharacterized. The record is from RefSeq and is a predicted model, not a curated record. The transcript has 3 exons. Lineage: Eukaryota; Metazoa; Arthropoda; Arachnida; Araneae; Araneidae.